This 162-nucleotide unclassified non-coding RNA is filed under the name uncultured Tremellales. Its description in RNAcentral is "sequence contains ITS1". The record is from RNAcentral. Lineage: Eukaryota; Fungi; Basidiomycota; Tremellomycetes; Tremellales.
GUGAAUACAAACGCUUGAGUGUCUCUGUCCUUGUGGCAAGCCUCUCGCACCCUUCACAUCCAUAACACCUGUGCACUGUAAGAUGACCUGACUCCGGUCGGGUUGUCUGACCAUUUUACAAACAAUUAUAUGUAACAAAUGUAGUCUUAUUAUAACAAAAUA